This 446-nucleotide ribosomal RNA is filed under the name uncultured bacterium. Its description in RNAcentral is "partial 16S ribosomal RNA". It matches the Rfam family "Bacterial small subunit ribosomal RNA", at positions 338 to 795 of the family's 1533-position model. The record is from RNAcentral.
CCUACGGGGGGCAGCAGUCGAGAAUCAUUCUCAAUGGGGGAAACCCUGAUGGUGCGACGCCGCGUGGGGGAAUGAAGGUCUUCGGAUUGUAAACUCCUGUUAUGUGGGAGCAAAUUCAAAAGAUAGUACCACAAGAGGAAGAGACGGCUAACUCUGUGCCAGUAGCCGCGGUAAUACAGCGGGCUGAAGGGUUGUUCGGAAUCACUGGGCGUAAAGCGUUCGUAAGCUGUUUGGUAAAUCGGGUGGGAAAGGCGCGGGCUGAACCCGCGGAGAGCACAGGAUACUGGCAGACUAGAGUAAUGGAGAGGGAACCGGAAUGCGCGGGGUAGCAGUGAAAUGCGUAGAUAUCGAGAAGAACACUCGUGGCGAAGGCAGGUUCCUGGACGUUAACUGACGCUGAGGCACGAAGGCCAGGGGAGCGAAAGGGAUUAGAUACCCGGGUAGUC